GACGAACGCUGGGGCGUGCUAAUACAUGAAGUAGACGCUGAGGGAGGAGUUGCUCUUCUUGGUGAGUGCGAACGGGUGAGUGCGCGUAGGUAUCUGCCUUGUGCGGGGGUAACUAUUGGAACGAUAGCUAAUACCGCAUAACAUGGAUGAACAUGUCAUUUAUUUGAAGGGGCAUUGCUCCACUACAAGAUGGACCUGCGUUGUAUUGGCUGGUAGGGAGGUAACGGCUCACCUAGGCGACGAUACAUAGCCGACCUGAGAGGGGAUCGGCCACACUGGAUUGAGACACGGCCCAGACUCCUACGGAGGCAGCAGUAGGGAUCUUCGGAAGGGGGCAAUCUGACCGAGAACGCGCGUGAGUAAGAGGUUUUCGGAUCGAAAGCUUUUUGUAGUCAAGACGAGGUAGAGUGGAAGUUCACACUGUGACGGUAGCUUACCAAAAGGGAGGCUAACUCCGGGCAGAGCGCGGUAAUACGGGGGUACGAGCGUUAAUCGGAUAACUGGGCGUAAAGGGCCGAGGCGUGACUUAAGUGAGUGUGAAAGCCCCGGCUUACCUGGGAUUGCAUUUCAUACUGGGUGCUAGAGUAUUUAGGAGGGUAGAUUCUACGUGUGCGGUGAAUGCGUAAGAGGUGGGAAAUCCCGAGGCGAGGCAGCUUUUGGGAUGACUGACGCUCAUGUGCGAAAGGGGGGAGCAAAAAG
Molecule: ribosomal RNA, 699 nt
Filed under: uncultured Sneathia sp.
Lineage: Bacteria; Fusobacteriati; Fusobacteriota; Fusobacteriia; Fusobacteriales; Leptotrichiaceae
Description: bacterial SSU rRNA
Rfam family: Bacterial small subunit ribosomal RNA
Source: RNAcentral